CUCCUGCACUGGGAGCAUGGAGUCUUAGCCUCUGGACCACCAUGGAAGUCCCCUAAGCAGAAUUUGUUGGAUUGAAGGCUGUUAAGGUGUGAAUGACGACUGAGGAUGCAGAUGAAGAAGUCAGCAGAGGUCUAGUUUUUAAAGACUUGGCAGGCCAGGGUAACAGAAUAUUCAUUGGGACCCUGCCUGAAUUUGUGGACUGGUUAAUAUAACCAGUGGUGGACACAGUGCCUGUUGAAACUAUGCACCUCCACAUUUCGAGAGAAAGGUUAAUGUUCCUCAUCGCCUGAGGCCCGGUUGCAGUCUUUAAACCUGUUGUUUCAUGCACGGUGUCACGUUUGCUUUGUUGGUUUGAGACAGGAGUGUAGAAUCUAGUCCCUGUUACUCUUCACCUUGAGCGGAAGCCAGCGUUCCUUCCUUUGUUUUCUUGACUUGGGAUUUUAAGUAGUCUCCGAAGAAGGUCAAAAGCAAGAGCCCAGAGCCAUGGCCUGCCUCUCUGGUGCAGGUGAAGUUUAAUAAUAAAGGAAUCUCAUAAAAUAGGGUUUCCCUCAUGGCUCAGCCAUAAGGAAUCCGACUGCAAUGCAAGAGACACAGGAGAUGCCAGUUUGGUUCCUGGGUCAGGAAGAUCCCCUGGAGGAGGGCAUGGCAACCCACUCCAGUAUUCUUGCCUGGAGAAUCCCAUGGACAGAGGAGCCUGGCAGGCUACAGUCCACAGGGUUGCAAAGAGUUAGACAGGACUGAAGCGACUGAGCACGCAUGCAUGAAGUAAACUGUAAGUGAAAAACCAUUGAAAACCCCACCAGCUUACUUAGAAUAAAAUAGCUACCUAUGAAGGUGGAUUUUAAAUCUUGUUCCGUCUACAUAUUUUCAACUUUUUAUUAUGGGAAUAUGAAAACACGUACAAAAAAUAGAGAAACUAAUGCUAUGAGUGCCAAUGUGUUAUCCAGCUUCAACCAUCAUCAACAAUAAUCUCUUAUUGUUUCAUCUCUUUCCUCACAGCUUGGUCUUUACGUGAGAAUAUUUUAAAGC
Long non-coding RNA from Bos taurus (domestic cattle), 1029 nucleotides. Lineage: Eukaryota; Metazoa; Chordata; Mammalia; Artiodactyla; Bovidae. The record is from Ensembl.